CCAACCACCGUAAAAAAACACCCAAAAAAAUUUUUUAAAAAAUUAUAUAUCAUUAAUGUGAUUUCACAUUUUUCACAUUUUAGUACUCUAUAAUUUUUAUUAAUUAUUUUUGUUAAAAUUUGAAAAGUAUUAAAAUAAAUAUUCAAUAAAUUAUAAAUAGGGUAUCUGAAUUUUUUUUGUAUAUGAUUUAACGAAAAAUCAACAGAAGGGCCGUCGAAAAAAUAAAAAUAAAAUCAUAGGGUAUUAAAUUGACAUAUUUUAAACCAUAAAAUAUUAAAAUAAAAAAGUGCUAAAC
This 295-nucleotide long non-coding RNA is filed under the name Ananas comosus (pineapple). Its description in RNAcentral is "long non-coding RNA (ACOM_LNC040415)". The record is from RNAcentral. Lineage: Eukaryota; Viridiplantae; Streptophyta; Magnoliopsida; Poales; Bromeliaceae.